GCAUUUGGGUACCUGACUCUACAGCUUGGUUUUAAGCCCUAUCUUGAAAGAGCCCAAAUUGCUGCUGACCAGUCUGAGCUCUCUUCUUCCUCAGAGCAACAACAACAAGAACAAGAACAACCCAACUCGAGCUCAACCCGCCAUUUCUAAGUGAAUGGGCCAGCGAGGAAAAUGGACAAAUAACGAGGCGGCAGCUGUAUAGUCCCCCUGAUGAUGAUUGUGAGUCUCAUUUGUACCAGUCUCCAAUGCUUUUCAGACAGUUUUGUAUGAAUUUUCCUUAAUUGAGCAGUGUGUGAGUGAGGGGAAUUCGAAUCUGGUGCAUUGAAGUAGAAUUGCUAACAUAUAUGUAUAAUUACUGAAUCCCAGUUGUAGACAAUACUUAAUGGAUGGCACUGCAUGAGAUGGAUUGGAGGCAUGGCAAAACAUGGCAUUUAUGUAUUAUGUUUUUUGUUGGCGAGAAACUAAUAGGUAGGUUAUAAUAAAAUUCAAAUGGUUAAAUGGUUUAGCCAAUUAAAUGGGAAACCCCUUUUUCGCACUUAAGGUUUAAGGUAAUGGGGACCCUCGCACUCGACCCUUGGGGUGGACUCGGUUUUUGUUACUAACUGCUAACCGAACCGAUGGCUUUCCUUUUCCAUUUGAGUUAUCGAUGGAGGCAGUACUAG
RNAcentral lists this long non-coding RNA (662 nucleotides) under Rosa chinensis. Its description in RNAcentral is "sRNA RchiOBHm_Chr4g0417831". Lineage: Eukaryota; Viridiplantae; Streptophyta; Magnoliopsida; Rosales; Rosaceae. The record is from RNAcentral.